This 794-nucleotide ribosomal RNA is filed under the name uncultured Methanosaeta sp. RNAcentral describes it as "bacterial SSU rRNA". It matches the Rfam family "Archaeal small subunit ribosomal RNA", at positions 85 to 879 of the family's 1478-position model. Lineage: Archaea; Methanobacteriati; Methanobacteriota; Methanomicrobia; Methanotrichales; Methanotrichaceae. The record is from RNAcentral.
ACGGCUCAGUAACACGUGGACAACCUACCCUUGGGUCUGGCAUAAUCCUGGGAAACUGGGUAUAAUUCCAGAUAGGUCACAGAUGCUGGAAUGCACUGUGGCCGAAAGCUCCGGCGCCCAAGGAUGGGUCUGCGGCCUAUCAGGGUUGUAGUGGGUGUAACGGACCUACUAGCCUACGACGGGUACGGGUUGUGAGAGCAAGAGCCCGGAGAUGGAUUCUGAGACACGAAUCCAGGCCCUACGGGGUGCAGCAGGCGCGAAAACUUUACAAUGCGGGAAACCGUGAUAAGGGAAUCUCGAGUGCCAGCAUAUAAUGUUGGCUGUCCAGAUGCCUAAAAAGCAUCUGUUAGCAAGGGCCGGGCAAGACCGGUGCCAGCCGCCGCGGUAACGCCGGCGGCCCGAGUGGUAACCGCUUUUAUUGGGUCUAAAGGGUCUGUAGCCGGCCAAGUAAGUCCCUUGGGAAAUCUGGCAGCUUAACCGUCAGGCUGCUAGGGGAUACUGCUAGGCUUGGGACCGGGAGAGGUGAGAGGUACCUUGGGGGUAGGGGUGAAAUCUUGUGAUCCUCGGGGGACCACCAGUGGCGAAGGCGUCUCACCAGAACGGGUCCGACGGUAAGGGACGAAAGCUAGGGGCACGAACCGGAUUAGAUACCCGGGUAGUCCUAGCCGUAAACGAUGCUCGCUAGGUGUCAGUCACGGUGCGACCGUGAUUGGUGCCGUAGGGAAGCCGUGAAGCGAGCCACCUGGGAAGUAUGGCCGCAAGGCUGAAACUUAAAGGAAUUGGCGGGGGAGCAC